Oncorhynchus tshawytscha (Chinook salmon) is the source of this 455-nucleotide long non-coding RNA. Lineage: Eukaryota; Metazoa; Chordata; Actinopteri; Salmoniformes; Salmonidae. The record is from Ensembl.
AGCACCCCGGUGAAUCCUGUCUGGAGCACUUGCUGCAGGGAAGGCCCUCCCGUCAUUGCCAGCUGGACUUUCCUCUGUUUGAAAUGGGACAGAGUGGAAGAGGUCUGGGGGAGGAUCUUCACAGAGUUGUGAGUUCUGGCGUGCGAUGUUGGCUGAGUUGCUGGGCUCCCUGGUGUUUGUGAGUGCUGUGCUGGGGGCCUCUGUGCCGGCCCUGGAGAGGCCUCCAUGGGGCUCCUCUACCCAGCCCUGGCCGCAGGCAUGGUGGCUGUCACCCUGGGACACUGUUUUAUAGAGAUCAGCUGGGCACAGGCUGGACUUGUCUAUUUUUAUCUCUCAAAGAAUGGACUUGCUGAGGGCACUGGUGUUCCUCUGGAGGUAAAUGUGGUGAAUGUGGAACUUUGAAAGUUUCUCCAAGUGCAGUCGCAAAACCCAUCAAGCGCUAUGAUGAAACUGGC